RNAcentral lists this ribosomal RNA (257 nucleotides) under uncultured bacterium. RNAcentral describes it as "partial 16S ribosomal RNA". It matches the Rfam family "Bacterial small subunit ribosomal RNA", at positions 524 to 782 of the family's 1533-position model. The record is from RNAcentral.
UACAGAGGGUGCAAGCGUUAAUCGGAAUUACUGGGCGUAAAGCGUGCGUAGACGGUUAUGUAAGUCGGGUGUGAAAGCCCCGGGCUCAACCUGGGAAUGCCAUUCGAGACUGCAUAGCUAGGGUGCGGAAGAGGGAAGCGGAAUUUCCGGUGUAGCGGUGAAAUGCGUAGAUAUCGGAAGGAACACCAGUGGCGAAAGCGGCUUCCUGGUCCAGCACCGACGUUCAGGCACGAAAGCGUGGGAGCAACAGGAUAGAA